UAUUCUGCCCCAUGGGGAAGGAUGAGAAGCUUCGACUAAGGUUCGACUCGAGCGAAGCGAGAGAUCGUUGCCGCAGGCAACGGCCCGAAGGGCGAGGCGCUUUAGCGCCGAGUAAUCCUUCCCCCACCACCA
Molecule: small RNA, 132 nt
Filed under: Klebsiella pneumoniae
Lineage: Bacteria; Pseudomonadati; Pseudomonadota; Gammaproteobacteria; Enterobacterales; Enterobacteriaceae
Also listed under: 2 other names
Description: RtT sRNA
Rfam family: RtT RNA
About the family: This family represents a bacterial cis-regulatory element known as RtT RNA. The exact function of RtT is unknown although it is thought that it may be involved in changing the cellular response in relation to amino acid starvation.
Source: RNAcentral